RNAcentral lists this ribosomal RNA (864 nucleotides) under Edentiella edentula helvetica. RNAcentral's name for it is "partial 16S ribosomal RNA". The record is from RNAcentral. Lineage: Eukaryota; Metazoa; Mollusca; Gastropoda; Stylommatophora; Hygromiidae.
GUUUUCUAAAAUUUGUUAAAAUAUAACACACACGAAGUCUGUUGAGCUAAAACAAUAAUAAUAUUAGUAUAUAGUUGUAAUUGUGGUAAUAAUUAACUUAAUAUAUUUUUUUAGGGGUGAUAGGCCUAUCAAAUCAGACGAUAUCUUGAUUGCUAGGAAAUAUAUUUAGUAUAAUAAUCAAACUAAAAGUGUUAAGGCUUUGAGUUUUCAAAAUUCUUUUUUAUUAUUCUAAAUUAUUUAUUUAAUAGUUAUAAUAUUCAUGUAAGUAACAUAUCUAAAUUUUUUGAAUUUGUACAGUACUAGCUUUUCUUUCCUAAUAUAUUUCAAAAAUGAAUAAUGAAAAUAUUAGUAUUAAGAUAAAAAUAAAGUAAGGAACUCGGCAAAAAUUUUUCUCGACUGUUUACCAAAAACAUGCUCUAAGGAAUAUAUUUAGAGUUUUCCCUGCUCAAUGAAAUUUAAAUAGCCGCAGUACUUUGACUGUGCAAAGGUAGCAUAAUCAGUUGGCUUAUAAUUGAAGUCUAGUAUGAAUGGGCGAUCGGGAAAUUUCUGUCUCAAAUAAUAUUGAAUUAAAUUUACUUAGUAAGUGAAAAUUCUUACAAAUUAAAUGAAAGACGAGAAGACCCUAGAAAUUUUAUAUAAAAACUUUUCUGAUACUUAUUUUGUUGGGGCGACAGAGUAACAAUAUAAACUUACUCACAAUACAGGCUACUAUUAAGUCGUAUGAAUAAAUUACUCUAGGGAUAACAGCAUAAUUUAUUAUUAAGAUUUUGACCUCGAUGUUGGACUAGGGAAAAAUUUACUUAGAAGGUAAAUUAGUAGGCUCUGUUCGAGCUUUAUCCCCUACAUGAUCUGAGUUCAGACCGG